GAUGAAGAACGUAGUGAAAUGCGAUAAGUGGUGUGAAUUGCAGAAUUCAGUGAAUCAUCGAAUCUUUGAACGCACAUUGCGCCCUUUGGUAUUCCUUAGGGCAUGCCUGUUCGAGCGUCAUUUAAACCUUCAAGCUCAGCUUGGUGUUGGGUGACUGUCCGCCGCCUCCGGGCGCGUGGACUCGCCUCAAAAUUAUUGGCGGCCGGUACAUUGGCUUCGAGCGCAGCAGAAACGCGAACUCGGGCCCGUCGUAUUGGCUCCCAGAAGCUAUCUUCACAAUUUUGACCUCGGAUCAGGUAGGGAUACCCGCUGAACUUAAGCAUAUCAAUAAGCGGAGGA
Molecule: unclassified non-coding RNA, 339 nt
Filed under: soil metagenome
Description: partial contains 5.8S ribosomal RNA, internal transcribed spacer 2, and large subunit ribosomal RNA
Rfam family: 5.8S ribosomal RNA (bases 1-120)
Source: RNAcentral